Molecule: transfer RNA, 73 nt
Filed under: Vicugna pacos (alpaca)
Lineage: Eukaryota; Metazoa; Chordata; Mammalia; Artiodactyla; Camelidae
Description: tRNA-Ala (AGC) (tRNA-Ala-AGC-458-1)
Rfam family: tRNA
About the family: Transfer RNA (tRNA) molecules are approximately 80 nucleotides in length.
Source: RNAcentral
AGAGGGUAUAGCUCAGUGGUAGAGUGCAUGCCUAGCAUGCAUGAGGUCCUGGGUUCAAUUCCCAGUACCUCUA